UACGUAGGGUGCAAGCGUUGUCCGGAAUUAUUGGGCGUAAAGAGCUCGUAGGCGGUCUGUCACGUCGGCUGUGAAAACCCGGGGCUCAACUCCGGGCCUGCAGUCGAUACGGGCAGACUAGAGUUCGGCAGGGGAGACUGGAAUUCCUGGUGUAGCGGUGAAAUGCGCAGAUAUCAGGAGGAACACCGGUGGCGAAGGCGGGUCUCUGGGCCGAAACUGACGCUGAGGAGCGAAAGCGUGGGGAGCAAACAGG
Molecule: ribosomal RNA, 253 nt
Filed under: uncultured bacterium
Lineage: Bacteria
Description: partial 16S ribosomal RNA
Rfam family: Bacterial small subunit ribosomal RNA
Source: RNAcentral